UACGGGGGGUGCGAGCGUUGUCCGGAAUCACUGGGCGUAAAGGGCGCGUAGGUGGUUUGAUAAGGGUGUGGUGAAAGUCCGGGGCUCAACCCCGGAUCUGCCGUGCCGACUGUCAAACUCGAGGACUGUAGAGGCAGACGGAAUUCCGGGUGUAGCGGUGGAAUGCGUAGAGAUCCGGAGGAAGACCGGUGGCGAAGGCGGUCUGCUGGGCAGUUUCUGACACUGAGGCGCGACAGCGUGGAGAGCAAACAGG
RNAcentral lists this ribosomal RNA (253 nucleotides) under uncultured bacterium. Its description in RNAcentral is "partial 16S ribosomal RNA". It matches the Rfam family "Bacterial small subunit ribosomal RNA", at positions 524 to 776 of the family's 1533-position model. The record is from RNAcentral.